Molecule: long non-coding RNA, 711 nt
Filed under: Phoenix dactylifera (date palm)
Lineage: Eukaryota; Viridiplantae; Streptophyta; Magnoliopsida; Arecales; Arecaceae
Description: long non-coding RNA (PDAC_LNC019136)
Source: RNAcentral
AUUACAAAAUCAAAAAGCUUAUCUCCUAGGUUCACAAUCCUAGAGAUUCAAAUAAGUUCUUAUGGAGAAUUUUCAAAGGCUAAAAGGUGAAAACAAUGUUUUCAGAUUUAGAAAUGAUUCUAGUUUGUUUUUUAGAUGACAUACAUAGCAAACUUUGACCUUGCAAAAAUUAAUCUAAGUGAACCAAUGAUAAGGUCUUUUGAGAUUAAGUUCAUACUAGUAUGAGUUGAUUUUAUAUGCCAAAAAUGGUUUCUUUAAUCUUGGUAUUCAUAGUGCAUAUAUUCAAAGGCAUACCAAGUAUACAUUCUCAUGUCUAUGAUCAAUAAAAGAUAAUGCCAUGGAUAAAAACUCUCAAUUAAGCAUAUAGAGAAUUCAUAGAGUUAUUCUUAAUAAAUUGAUUAAUCAUUUAGCAACUUAUCAACAGUAAGUAAAGCAUACUAUAAAAUAAAAUGAUUUAAUUAUAUAUAUAUACAUAUUACCUAUAUCACAAAAUUGAUUAAUACCUGCAAUUCAUGUUUUAAUCAGAUACUAAGGCAAAGAGAAUGAUAAAAUGCAAGGAUUAUUUUUUUCAUUAUUAUUUUCAUUUCAAUUUCUUUUCUUAAGUUUAUUUUAAGUUUCAUUCUUUAAUAUGUGUCUAGAGCACCCAAUGUCCAAAUUAACUGUUGGAGCCUUAAGUGCUAGACACACCUGCAGAAAAUAUUCAGAUUUUCA